GACGAACGCUGGCGGCGUGCCUAAUACAUGCAAGUUGAGCGCUGAAGGUUGGUACUUGUACCGACUGGAUGAGCAGCGAACGGGUGAGUAACGCGUGGGGAAUCUGCCUUUGAGCGGGGGACAACAUUUGGAAACGAAUGCUAAUACCGCAUAAAAACUUUAAACACAAGUUUUAAGUUUGAAAGAUGCAAUUGCAUCACUCAAAGAUGAUCCCGCGUUGUACUAGCUAGUUGGUGAGGUAAAGGCUCACCAAGGCGAUGAUACAUAGCCGACCUGAGAGGGUGAUCGGCCACAUUGGGACUGAGACACGGCCCAAACUCCUACGGGAGGCAGCAGUAGGGAAUCUUCGGCAAUGGACGAAAGUCUGACCGAGCAACGCCGCGUGAGUGAAGAAGGGUUUCGGAUCGUAAAACUCUGUUGGUAGAGAAGAACGUUGGUGAGAGUGGAAAGCUCAUCAAGUGACGGUAACUACCCAGAAAGGGACGGCUAACUACGUG
Molecule: ribosomal RNA, 497 nt
Filed under: uncultured bacterium
Lineage: Bacteria
Description: partial 16S ribosomal RNA
Rfam family: Bacterial small subunit ribosomal RNA
Source: RNAcentral